CCUACGGGGGGCAGCAGUGGGGGAUAUUGCACAAUGGGGGGAACCCUGAUGCAGCGACGCCGCGUGGGUGAAGAAGCGCCUCGGCGCGUAAAGCCCUGUCAGCAGGGAAGAAAAUGACGGUACCUGAAGAAGAAGCCCCGGCUAACUACGUUCCAGCAGCCGCGGUAAUACGUAGGGGGCAAGCGUUAUUCGGAUUUACUGGGGGUAAAGGGUGUGUAAGUGGUUUGACAAGUUGGUAGAGUAACUCCGAGGCCUAACCUCGGCACUACUACCAAAACUGUUGGACUCGAGUGCAGGAGGGGCAAAUGGAAUUCCUAGUGUAGCGGUGGAAUGCGUAGAUAUUAGGAGGAACACCAGUGGCGAAGGCGAUUUGCUGGACUGUAACUGACACUGAGGCACGAAAGCGUGGGGAGCAAACAGGAUUAGAUACCCCAGUAGUC
Molecule: ribosomal RNA, 440 nt
Filed under: uncultured bacterium
Lineage: Bacteria
Description: partial 16S ribosomal RNA
Rfam family: Bacterial small subunit ribosomal RNA
Source: RNAcentral